This 100-nucleotide microRNA precursor is filed under the name Choloepus hoffmanni (Hoffmann's two-fingered sloth). RNAcentral's name for it is "miRNA (ENSCHOG00000014675.1)". Lineage: Eukaryota; Metazoa; Chordata; Mammalia; Pilosa; Megalonychidae. The record is from RNAcentral.
GUUAAAUUGCAAAUUCCUGGUGCUCUGCCCCAAACCUACAGAAUUAGACUUUCUGGGGUAGAGCCCAGGAAUCUGCAUUUUUAACAAACAACCCCCCCCC